Molecule: long non-coding RNA, 2630 nt
Organism: Pteropus alecto (black flying fox)
Lineage: Eukaryota; Metazoa; Chordata; Mammalia; Chiroptera; Pteropodidae
Exons: 4
Source: RefSeq, a predicted model, not a curated record
GCGCAUGCGCGAACAACCCCAGCUAGUGUGCUAGAAACUGAAGAAUUUGAGCAUGCGCAGGAGUGUCAGCGCGUUUGGUAGGCUUCAGAUGCUACUGAGAAUUAGCCCCUCCUCGCUGCGUCUGAUUGGUCUAAUUAAUCCCUGGUGUUCCUGAGACCGACUUGAAGGAGGGACUUUGCACUUGGGCAGAGGGGCUGAGGAAAGUAAAGGGCAGCUGCGUGGGCUCCUCUGAAGGAAACUUUCUUGAGAGCACUGUGUUCCAGUCCUGUUGAACGUUUUCCUGGAGACUCCACUGAGACAGUCUGCACUGUCCAUCACCAUGGACUUCAGCCUUCGACCAGAUGUGGUACCCACAGAGGCCUUUCGUGUCUUGCUGCUGCGGCUUGUCGAGUCAGUGGUAACAUGGAGCUGACACUGAGCCCAUAUGCCAGGUGCUGCUCUAAGGACUUUACCUGCAGUCGCUCAUCCAAUCCUCCCAGCAACCUUAUGGGAAUAUCGAAAAUGGAGACGUCGAGAGAAGAAAAUUUCCCCAGUAUUGCCCAGGAGAGAUGAAGCAUCGAUGACUCGAUGUGAGUCUUCCCGUCAUGUUGGCACAUUCGCACAUUCAGCAUUUUGAUCAGGAAUGACUCACCAUGCCUCAUUGGUGAGUGUAUUACUUAAAAAUAAUCGCUCCCAUUGCAAUGGACAAAAGUCCUUUUUGGAAGGAGGCAGAAGGUAAACCCUCUGCAAUCUUCUCAUCUUAACUCAGUUUCUCUUUUGAUAAAAGUUUACGGACCACCUGACACCUGUGUUGAUGUGGUUGUCCCUUCUUUAUAUCCCUAGAUGCUAAUAAGUAAGCAUUCUAGAUUUUUUUUCAGUCUUUUGUGAGUCUGAAAUAAUUUCAUCUACAAUUCAGUUCUGCAGAACCUGGAAACUGUACUAUAGAGAACUGAGAACAAUUUGUCAACCUACAGACCUGAGUCAAAUCUGAGCUCAUCUCUAUGAGAAGCCCAUUGACCCUGAGCCCUUAUUUUGCCCCCAAAGCCUGACUUGCAUUCCCAAUAAUCAGACAAAUAUACACUCCUUGGUCAGUUCUUAAUUAUCUGCAUGUGGCUUAUUCAAAAAUAAAAAUUAUUUUUAUUCCGUGAGGAAAGUAGUUGAAAAGGCCAAGCUCUGAGUUCAAGAAAUGAGUUUAAAUCCUGACUGCGCCUUUUUGAAUCUGUGAUCUUGGACAAGUUACUUCAUUUCUCUGUGUUUCACUUUCUUAAUCUACAUUAAAAAAAAAAAGGAGGAGCAAAUAAGAAUUCCUACUUUGUAUGAGAUAAAAGAUAUAUAAAGUAACUGCAUUUAAUAAAUAGUGGCACUCAAUAAAUAGUAGCAAUUGAUAUUAUGUGCUGGAUGCUACAAGAAUGCAAAAAUGAGCAAGGCACAAACUAAACUCUUUAGAAAUAUUUGAUCUAGUAAGCGAGGAUGCAACCUGUACCGCAGUGACUGAACGAGAUGUGCCAUGUCUGACAAUCUCAUCCAAUUUAGACAUCAAGCUUCAGUAGGAGGUAACAUUGGAAAGUGUCCAAAGGUAUGUGAAAAGUGGUCCAGGAGGAGGGAAGUGAACGAGCAAUAAUGUGGAGAAAAAAACAAGCCUGAUCGGCCUCUCUGUGGAAGGCUAUAAAGGCCCGUUUGAACUUGAAUAGUCAGAUUGUGAAAGCAGUCACAAAUGCUUCCCCCUCCUGGUAUCUAUAGCCAUAGGUAAUUCUUUUCCACAAUGAUGCUGAACUUGGUCAUGCAACUUGCUUUGACCAGUGGGAUGACUGGUAGCAAACAUGAUUCAGGUGGACUCAUGAAAAGGGCUUGCACAUUUAGGCAGACCUUAAUGUUGCACUUGGAGCCUUUCUGCUGCCAUAGGAACAAGCUUGCUCUAGCCAGUUCAGUGUUGAUGAGAAACAUGUGGUCCAGCGCUCUUCCCCGUCCCCAGUCAACAGUCAGCACUGUCAGGGGAACAGCAACCGAGCUCCCUGCAGCUGACCACAGAUGCAAGAGUGAGCCCAGUCAAGAUUAGCAAAAGAAUGACCCAGCUGGGCCCAACCCAAAUCAUAACCCACAGAACCGUGAGCAAAAUAAAUGGUUGUCAUUUUUAAGCCACUGCAUUUUGGGGUGGUUUGUUAAUGCAGCAAAAGUUAGCCAAUAACGGAGAGCCAUUGAAAGGUGGGUGCAGGUGAGCAGAUAUAUACGCUGUCCAGAUGGAUGUGCACUUGGGAAACUGGAGGCACACCAUAAAUACUAGAUUAAGUAAAAUAAUUAUUAAUGUAAAUUUGCUUCAAAAGGAAAUAAGUUGACGAGUAAUUAUUGAGUGCAGAAGGUUGCAAUUCACGAUAUCCUAUACCCCUGCUAUUCAAAACGUUGUCUGUGGACCAAAGGUAUUGUGACCUGGAGCUUAUUUGAAAUAUGGAAUUUGGGCUCCAUCCCAGACCCACUGAAUCUGAGUAUGAAUUUCAACAACAUCCCCAGGUGAUUCAUUGGCACUAAGUUUGAGAAGCACUGUCCUAUCCUAAAAAUGCAAACUGUAUCCGCACUAAGCACUCACCUAGUCUUUUGAAUUCUGGUCAAACCAGAUUUUUUUUUUUACUUCUUUAGAUGCAUCAGUAUAACUUCCU